CCGCGCCUGAAUAUAUAGGGCGUGUGGAGGGAACGUGGGGAAGUGAAACAUCUCAGUACCCACAGGAAGAGAAAACAACAUGUGAUUCCGUGAGUAGUGGCGAGCGAAAGCGGAAGAGGCUAAACCGGGCACAUGCGAUACCCGGCAGGGGUUGUGUGUUCGGGGUUGUGGGGUUCGAUGUGUCGGUGCUGCCGCACCGGCCGACAGUGAGAAAUCGCCUGUGUUAGUCGAAGUGGUCUGGAACGGCCCGUCGUAGAGGGUGAGAAUCCCGUAGACGAAAACACGGUGACUGUCGAUUCGGAUACCCGAGUAGCAGCGGGCCCGUGAAAUCUGCUGUGAAUCUGUCGGGACCACCCGAUAAGCCUGAAUACUCCCUGGUGACCGAUAGCGGACUAGUACCGUGAGGGAAAGGUGAAAAGUACCCCGGGAGG
RNAcentral lists this ribosomal RNA (431 nucleotides) under Rhodococcus ruber. RNAcentral's name for it is "partial 23S ribosomal RNA". It matches the Rfam family "Bacterial large subunit ribosomal RNA", at positions 152 to 534 of the family's 2925-position model. Lineage: Bacteria; Bacillati; Actinomycetota; Actinomycetes; Mycobacteriales; Nocardiaceae. The record is from RNAcentral.